AUGGAGUCUGAGUCGCAUUCCUUACCCUCUGUCAAUGGGGGUUUUGAAUCAGGAGUCAUCAUUUUGAAUGGUGAUUCAAAGAUGGAGGAGUCAUUUGGAGAAUCUUUGUCAGGUGAAGCCUUCUCCAUGAAUACUUUAGAAUCCAUGUUUCCUAUGAAAUUUGAUGGGGAGAAAAUCUUGUCGAGAGACCAAUGUCUCCUUCUGUCUUGA
Non-coding RNA from Vicia faba (fava bean), 210 nucleotides. The record is from the annotation of a GenBank genome assembly. NCBI's taxonomy places the organism in Eukaryota, Viridiplantae, Streptophyta, Magnoliopsida, Fabales, Fabaceae.